Molecule: non-coding RNA, 594 nt
Organism: Odocoileus virginianus texanus
Lineage: Eukaryota; Metazoa; Chordata; Mammalia; Artiodactyla; Cervidae
Source: RefSeq, a predicted model, not a curated record
GGCAGCUCUUGGCUCUCAUCUUCUAGCCCCUUCUACCAGAAGAAGGGGCUGUCUUGAAGAAUCCUGGGAAGGACUCUGAUUGGCCUGUCUUGGAUCAUGUACCACCAUCCCUGUGGCUGGAGUGGGGAGGGUACUAAGAAUGACAACCUUCACUAGAACUACAUAGUUGGAGUUGGAGUCAGGGCUUAUUUCGCAGUUUCAUUAAAACUUUUAACACCCUCCCCCUGACCGCCGCCGCGCCACCAUCAUGGACACGAGCCGUGUGCAGCCCAUCAAGCUUGCCAGGGUCACCAAGGUGUUGGGCAGGACCGGUUCGCAGGGACAGUGCACGCAGGUGCGCGUAGAAUUCAUGGACAACACGAGCCGCUCCAUCAUCCGAAACGUGAAAGGCCCCGUGCGUGAGGGCGACGUGCUCACCCUGUUGGAGUCAGAGCGAGAGGCUCGGAGGCUGCGCUGAACUUGUGACUGGGUGCUGGAUGUCUGGGUUGACGCCGUGGCCCACCAGGUGGAUCUGCUGUUAAUAAAGCGUUUAUAUCAUAUGUAAAAAAAAAAAAAAACUUUUAACAUCAUCCAUGUUGUACAUGUGUCAGAAUU